GGCGCCUCAAGUCUUCCUCACGCUCUUUAAAAAUCAAGUCCCGCUGAUCCUCCUGCACUAAGUCCAUCUUGUGCACUAGACAAAAGAUCUUUGCGUCGGGAGAGUUCUGAAGAAUUGCCUCCAAGCAUGACUGGUAGUAGUGCAUGUCCUUCUCCAGUUCGCGGCUUUCUACAUCGAAGACAUAGAUGAGGACUUCUACGUUGCGGAAGAUGUUGUCCCGCUGACUGGUGAAGUAGUUCUCCAUAAAGGUGUCCUGUCCUCCACAGUCCCAGAGGUUUAAUACCAGGUUUCCUAGAAAUCUAACAUGGGAGUGUUCCACAUCAAUUGUGGCACCCAGGCGUCGUGUGUCUCUGGCAAUGUAGUUUGCAAAGAUAAUGGACCUCAUGCUGGUCUUCCCAGACCCGCUUUUACCCAUCAGCAGCACCUUUUUCUUCAUGGCUGUGCUCGGCAUCACCUCCCUCUAUCCGCGCCGGGCACCUCCCAGGCCGGUUCGGCGAUGCCCGCGGGCGGCGGGAGCCGCGGGGGCGCGUCGCCGGGCUGCCCGCAGCGCUGAGCGGGUCCGAGCGCCCCGCGCUCCGGAGCAGGCCUCAAAGCCACGGCCUCGCGUGAGCCCGCUGCGCCGCUGGGAUCCCGCCCGCACUGGCCGCGGCCGCCCCGGCCCCCCCCCGCGGCGCUCACGAGACUCGGCGCUCGGCGGCCUCCGCCGGUCACGUGAGCGCUGCUCCCACCACGCCCCCCAAAAUCACGUGAUAGGGCCCGGCCAACGGCCGCAGGGGCGGGGCGAAAGGAAGGAAGAGGUGGAGCUGUUGCGCUCUGGCCGCCAUGCUGAGUUCUGGUGCCAGGGCCUGUGUGGAGGAGGGGCGGCAGCGCGGCCGGGCACAGCCUGCAGGCGGCCGAGUCGAUAGCGACCCCGCGGUGUUUACGGGGCGGCUCGACGGGGCUUCGGUGCAUCCCAGCACAGCGCUAUGCAGAAGGGCCAAACAGUGGCGCACAGCGAAUGUUUUGAGGCGGGCUGAGAAAAGUCUCAUCAGCGCCUCCCAUAUGGUCUAGCGGUUAGGAUUCCUGGUUUUCACCCAGGCGGCCCGGGUUCGACUCCCGGUAUGGGAAGGAAUUUCAUUUUUGCUCCCAUCGUUUCGGAGGCGUUCACACGGCAACGAACCUGGCGACCGGAGCCGCCCAGAACUGCCAGAGGUCCACAGCCAUGGCGGGCCGCGGCCCCCGCCAGCGUGAAGCGGCGGGUGGGGGUGAGGACGGAGCUCCCGGCGGGGCAGCGUGCGCCAGGUCACGUCUGCCAGCACGGCGCAGCCGCCGUUUGCACCCCUCGGCGAGAUCCCAACGCGCGGGCUGUGGGCAGAGACAGGCGGCGGUGCGCAGAGAACCCACUGAGAUGCAUCGAGAAUGCGACAUUAGUCUGUAGAACUAGCCUACACUGCAUUCCUUCGUACGUCAAUAGUCCUUCGCAGAGCGAGGGGAAAUUCCGCAGGAAAGCCAAGCCUGCCUGAUAAUGCCUUUACCGACGCCGCUUACAGACGAGCAGCACCCCCAGCGCCCAGCAACUGCCGCUCGGCACGCAGUAGCACGCAUGCGCACAGCCCGGCCGGCACACAGCGACAGAAGACGGCGCGAGACUUCACGCAUGCGCACCCGUACGUGUGACGUACUGCGCACGCGCCACCGCACCGCUGUGAAACAGCGCAGAUGCGCUCAGCGCAGCCUUGCGCCAGGCGGGAGAGCGCAGGGGUGAAACGACGCGUGCGCUCUCCCGCCUCGUAGAGCACGGCGGAGUGCGGGCGCUUUCCUCUCACGUCGCGCGACGUUACGCAUGCCCACAAGUGCCAACUGCCUCGGGAGCCGUGUGCGCGCGCACCGCCGCGAAGAGAGCCGGUACGGUUGCACACUGCCCUCUGCCGCCCGCACGCGCAUGCACAGCUAUGUGCAAUGCAUGGCGCAUGCGCACCGCUCUCUUCUGUCACGGGGAAGCGCGCGCACUUCCUGUUCCCAGCGCGGGGCAGCACGCACGUCUACACGCACCGCCCAGCGGGCCGAGACUUCGCGCGUGCGCGCCUCUAAGGCGAUUCAGUGCGCAUGCGCACAUCCUUCUCUCCAGGCCAGCACGCCCGCGCCUGCGCGCUCCUCACACGUUCCACCGCGCAGCUGUGCGCAUGCGCAGCGCUGACUCCUCCCGCUGGUUCCGCUCUCCAGCAGUCAUUUUAUUAGGGAAAAAGAAAGGAGGAAAAAAAAAAAAAACACGGAAAAAACAAAGCUGAAUACCACUCCAGCACAUCACAUCUCCCACAGCAGAGGGAAAUGGAUCAGUCAAUAAAUUGCUAUGGUAUUCAAUUGGUUUUGCUGUAGAAAUCAGUCAUGCAGCGCAGGCGAUGCUAUAUGGAGCCUGGUUAAAAUGUUCUCCUGAACAGAGCACAGCAGCUCCGUCCCAUGAAAUAAGUGAUACCUCAGCUCUUUUCAGUCUCUUUGGGCCAAAUCCUAUCAUGAGUGUAAAUCUAGACAGAGUCUGCUGGCCUCGUGCAACCCCUAUGUAUCCUUCUCUAACAAAGCAGCGAGCAGAAGCUGUCUGGUAGCCUUUGACAGGGAAUUAGCAUUCACAUCACCUCCUUACAGUUAGCUCUGAGAUAGCAGGGCACAUCCAACCCUCAAUAGUUGGCUAGCAAAAUGCAUCAAGAACAUAACAAACCUUUCAUGUCAUUUCUAGAAACUGCACCUCUCCUUCCUUCCCAGCAGGAGAGCACCGACCUGACAGCCUGACUUCAGUUUUACCUGUAAGACAGCAGAGCUGAAAGCUGGCUGACAAUGAAAGGUGUGCAGUGAGACACCCAGUGGCACCAAAUGAGCACAUCUGGCUCUUUCCAGCACCUUCCAAGAAGAUGCUGGGGCUAUUCCAAGGCACUGUAAGAGAGGAACAUAGAGUUAAGGUUUAACCCAGUGAGAAGAGACUUCUGUAUCUCCCUGCUUUACGUAUCAGUGACCACGCUGGAGCUCACUCCCCCCACCUUGCACAAGGAUCUCUAAUCUGGAAGUUCUUGUGCAGUCCUAAAGGGAAAAUGCAUUUAAUGUGUACAAAUGGUGAUAUAUUCAUAGAGCCUGCUGGCUUCAUUCUCCAGCAAAGAGAAAGUUCAAACUGCUUCAUCGGGGAAUGAAAAUUAUCACUGAGUGAGACACAAAUGAAGAACUGAGGAACGUAAUAAAACUCUAAACUAAAUCAAACAGAGAACUGCUUGAAGCCAGGCAGGAUGCAGGUUCCCAGGUCAGCACUGUGAGCUUGCUCCUGUUGAGCUCUGGUGCCCUGUGUAUCUUAUGCCUUACUCUCAUACUGCUGUUAUCUCAUAGGGCCAUAUUAAGUAACCUAUUUAGAGAGCCCUGGCUUUGCAGCAUGUUUAUUUUGUCCUUCUUUGCAUGUUUUCACUCUGUUUGUCCACAAUGACCAGCUAUUAGUGGUAAAAUUGUGCAUGACUAUGUCUGAGAGGAAAGAAGAAGA
RNAcentral lists this transfer RNA (3493 nucleotides) under Gallus gallus (chicken). The stretch from base 1036 to 1107 matches the Rfam family "tRNA". Lineage: Eukaryota; Metazoa; Chordata; Aves; Galliformes; Phasianidae. The record is from RNAcentral.